CUAGUUGCGAGGUUGAGUGCACGCGGUUUGUCAUUCUUCCUGCAAACAUAUCCCGUGUGACUUUGAAGUUCUGUAAUCUACGGUUCUUCUCAGGAAGAAAGUGCCACCAGCUUCCUGCGAUACGAACCGUAGAUAGACGUAAGAAGCGAUGUUCACACCGUUGGUCAUAUAAUCAACUGUGAUAAUCUUUGUGAGGUGGCUCUGUUCUACAACACCGGUCCGGUACCGUCAAUAACGCAUCUUGUGGUCUUCUGAAGUUUCCACAGAAAAUCUAAAAGUUAGUAGUUCGUAAUAAGAAGCACCUUCAAGAUCCUACACCUGGGGAAUAGUGUAAUAGCACUAUGUGCUACAGGUGUUUUGCCGGACUUGCUGCAAAAUGCAGCGUAGCAGCCUAGUGGUACGGUGGUAGGUCCGCGGUUCAAAUCCCGGCCGAGAUGUAGGUACACCUCUGCACGUUGCGGCAGCCAUACCAACACCGUUGGUUGUCGUGACAGAAGUCUUUCUCACCUUUGGGAACGGCUAGCAACCACCCAAAGGGAAUGUUUAUGCUCAUAGUUGUCCAGCCAAGUCUGGAUGAAAAACAGGCUAAUAGCCUAUGCUGUAUAAGCGACCAUACGGCCAAGAGAGAGAUGUUUUUUUUUAGGUUUAAACUUUUGCAAUAUUAUCACAAGGAUCAAGAAGUCCGUAAUGGAACUGAAGAAUGAAGUUCACAACACCGCCAAACUUAGGAUUUCAAGUUCUUAUUUUACUGUCAAUUUAAUUGAAUCUAAAAAUAGCGCAAGACUUUUGUUUUAAAAUUAGGGUGUCAUGUGGAUACCAUUUGAUUCAGUUGCGAAACACAGUGCAAAACUGCAACGCAUUUUUUCUCGAUAUUUCUUUGACGCGGUUUUGGUUAAUCAAAUGAGCCUUAGAUUUGCAUUUUACAAGAUGAAACAUUUCAUCAAAUUUUCGCGAUUUUCCGUUCCGUAUUUCUUUCUGUUUUGCCAUGUUACAGUUAAUGGUAAAUUUUAUUUGUUGCAUAUGAAAACAUGUUCGUAGCAGUUCAUUGCGACCUGAUAAAUUCCUUAAUCUUGGGUAAAUUGUUAAUUCGCAUUAACUCUAUUAAUUUAUUUAGCGCACUCCCAAAGAACGUCAAUGUAAGUUGUCAAUUCAAAAUAACACUUUACACUUUAUCGAGAAGUUUAUUUAGGUAGCCAUUUACUGCAGUGGACAUGUUUUCAUAUGUUACAAAUACCAUUUAACAUUAACUGCAACAUGGCAGUACAAAAUUGACUCAUAAAGUGCCGGGAAUGGAAGUGUAUUUUUGUAAAUAUGUGCUUUCCACAAUUUGUGGAAACGUGUUGUGCGCUUUAGUACUUUUUGGAUGGAAGAACAAAGAAGAAAGGAACAUCAAGUAAAAAUUUACUUUUACUUAACUUUUAUUUAAGUUUGUUACAGGUACAAUCUUAUUGUUUUUAUAAUAAUUUGAAAUGAUCCAAUUAAUGGAGGAUUACUUGAUCUUACAUCUUACAUUUACAGGAUUAGCCAUGUUAAACGCAAAUAUUGAAUAGUAUAUGUAGUAUAGGUAUUUUAUGUGUGUUCUUUUAUUUAGUUAUAGUAAAUGCAACAGAGAGAACUAAUUAGCAGCCACCCAGCGAGAACAACAGCCAGGAGUGGCUGGGAUUUUAAUUUUUUUUGCGGCGUGUCGUUCUAGGGGACGAAAGAAAGAUUGAAAGUAAUGAAUUUGUUUAUCAUUUUCAUAAUUAAUUUAUGUGACUAGCACACGGUAAACCUGCAAAAAUGUUAUUUUUGUGCUUCGAUGUGCUAAUUGUUGUUUUCGGUUGUUUUAGGUGUCUAGCGGGCGAACGAAACUACCACCAUUCUGUCAUUGUAAGUAUUGAUUUUUUACAAUUUUCAUUUAUAACAUUUGGGUUUAAUACAAGGGGAAGCCAUUAAAUAAAAGUGGUAUUUUACUCCAAUACGUUUAUUAAAGUAUUUUCUUCAAAAUAAAUUUUUUCUUGAAAUGUUAAAUUGGGUUGCGAUAUAUUUGUUAUCGUAUUUUUGCCGUAUGAAGAUAGAAGGUUGCCCCUCUAAUUGCGGGUUGCUUGUCAAUUCUCUUUCCUGCAGUCCGACUUAGUCGGCUGUGCACUGCCGCGUGGUGCGCUCGUGUUUUGAUCAUUAAUCACAUAUUGUGACAAUUUUUCGUAUUUCUUAAUAUUCUGUAGUAAUACAGGAAUCGGUUGACAAUCAGAGACAUAGCCCCGUGUAGCGCCCAACGAAUCAUUAGUAAUUCUUCAAGGUGCGCGCGUGGUGUCCAUCGGAUAUGUUUCGGUGCCUAUGGAUACUUACUGGAGUUGAUUUUAAAUUUAUUUGUUUAACGUGACUUAAACAUCCGCGUGGAAUAGUAAAGAAGUGCGUAUCAUCAAUGCGCUUUAGCUUUGUAUGGACGAAAGAACGAAGACGUAUGUAAUAUCAAGUAAAAUUUUACUUUUAUUUAAUUUAAUUCUACCAGUAUAUUUGUUCUGUGCGUGUCAUCCUCUUGAGCAUAUUUCCUUGAUUGCUGUUUAUGUUAUGUAAUUGUGUAUGUAGAACUUGAGAACUCCUUUUAUUGUGUAUAUGACUUUGCUCGUGACCGGACUUUUGCCCCCAAGACGAUCGCUCACACGACAACUGCUCACAGACAACUGCCCACAGUCAUAACUGCGCACACGGACAGUUGCUCACAGGGUUUUUGCUCACAUUGAAAAUUGCUCACAGGACUUUUGCUCACACGGACAAUUGCUCACUAUUUAAUUUUUUUAACUUUUUUUUUAACAAUGAAUAUUAAUUAUGAAAUAAUUUAUACACAAAUAUAUAACAAUUAAGAGGCCUCGCGUGCACGCUAAUAGUGUUUGAUUUUUCAAAUAAACUAUUUGUUCAUACUAUCUUAAUUAAUUAGCAAUAAAUAUACCUCUUUGAAGUUUCACU
Dalotia coriaria is the source of this 2946-nucleotide long non-coding RNA. RefSeq lists it as uncharacterized. Lineage: Eukaryota; Metazoa; Arthropoda; Insecta; Coleoptera; Staphylinidae. The record is from RefSeq and is a predicted model, not a curated record. The transcript is spliced from 3 exons.